This 349-nucleotide unclassified non-coding RNA is filed under the name fungal sp. RNAcentral describes it as "partial internal transcribed spacer region". The stretch from base 1 to 46 matches the Rfam family "Eukaryotic small subunit ribosomal RNA", at positions 1786 to 1831 of the family's 1831-position model. Lineage: Eukaryota; Fungi. The record is from RNAcentral.
AAGUCGUAACAAGGUUUCCGUAGGUGAACCUGCGGAAGGAUCAUUAACACGUAUCCAACGUUAAACAACCCUGUGAACUUUCAACACCGCCGGAAUGAGAUUAAUUUCCAACUCCGGUGAAGGCAAGUGACCUGGCACCUGGACCACAUCAAAGCUCUGACAGAGUGCCUCUGGAUGCUGAUUGAAGGGUGACGCAGUAACGAUCGCUGGAGGCCCACACGGCCGGCGACUGGGUCAGCGAGCUAACGCUCCCUCAACAACCACUUAACAUGACGACAGUUCCUCUUUAACUUGAGUUGAGCUAUAACAAAAAACUAUACAACUGUUAACAAUGGAUAUCUUGGUUCUC